This 434-nucleotide ribosomal RNA is filed under the name Aestuariibacter sp. Its description in RNAcentral is "bacterial SSU rRNA". It matches the Rfam family "Bacterial small subunit ribosomal RNA", at positions 1 to 413 of the family's 1533-position model. The record is from RNAcentral. Lineage: Bacteria; Pseudomonadati; Pseudomonadota; Gammaproteobacteria; Alteromonadales; Alteromonadaceae.
UUUAAUUGGAGAGUUUGAUCCUGGCUCAGAAUGAACGCUGGCGGCGUGCUUAACACAUGCAAGUCGUACGAGAAAUCUUCAGCUUGCUGAAGAGAGUAGAGUGGCGUACGGGUGAGUAACGCGUGGGUAAUCUACCUUUGAAUUGGGGAUAACAUUGCGAAAGCGAUGCUAAUACCGAAUAACAUCCAUUUUGCUUCGGCUUAAUGGCUCAAAGAUGGCCUCUUCUUGAAAGCUAUUGUUUAAAGAUGAGCCCGCGUACCAUUAGCUUGUUGGUGGGGUAACGGCCUACCAAGGCAGCGAUGGUUAGCUGGUCUGAGAGGAUGAUCAGCCACACUGGAACUGACACACGGUCCAGACUCCUACGGGAGGCAGCAGUGAGGAAUUUUGCGCAAUGGGGGAAACCCUGACGCAGCAACGCCGCGUGAGUGAUGAAG